Molecule: ribosomal RNA, 744 nt
Filed under: uncultured bacterium
Lineage: Bacteria
Description: bacterial SSU rRNA
Rfam family: Bacterial small subunit ribosomal RNA
Source: RNAcentral
AGAGUUUGAUCCUGGCUCAGAACGAACGCUGGCGGCAGGCCUCAAACAUGCAAGUCUAGCGGGCGUAGCAAUACGUCAGCGGCGGACGGGUGCGUAACACGUGGGAACGUACCCUUUGGUUCGGAACAACGCAGGGAAACUUGCGCUAAUACCGGAUGUGCCCGAAAGGGGAAAGAUUUAUCGCCAAAGGAUCGGCCCGCGUUCGAUUAGCUUGUUGGUGAGGUAAUGGCUCACCAAGGCGACGAUCGAUAGCUGGUCUGAGAGGACGAUCAGCCACACUGGGACUGAGACACGGCCCAGACUCCUACGGGAGGCAGCAGUUGGGAAUCUUGGACAAUGGAGGAAACUCUGAUCCAGCCAUGCCGCGUGAGUGAUGAAGGCCUUCGGGUUGUAAAACUCUUUCGACGGGGACGAUAAUGACGGUACCCGUAGAAGAAGCUCCGGCUAACUUCGUGCCAGCAGCCGCGGUAAUACGAAGGGGGCUAGCGUUGUUCGGAAUUACUGGGCGUAAAGCGCGCGCAGGCGGCCAAUCAAGUCAGGGGUGAAAGCCCGGAGCUCAACUCCGGAAUUGCCUUUGAAACUGAUCGGCUUGAGUACGGGAGAGGUGAGUGGAAUUCCCAGUGUAGAGGUGAAAUUCGUAGAUAUUCGCAAGAACACCAGUGGCGAAGGCGGCUCACUGGCCCGAUACUGACGCUGAGGCACGAAAGCGUGGGGAGCAAACAGGAUUAGAUACCCCCGUAGUCC